GCGCAAAGCACGGAGCAAAAUCCAUCAUGCUAACUUGUGGAAAUAGGUCAACUAAGUCAUCAAGUGCAGCUACCUGGAUUUAUUCGGAAUAUCAACCUAACUAAUGAAUGAAACCACUUGGUAUCAGCUUAUAACACGAGGCAAAAUCUUGGAGGAAACUGUUAUGCUGUGGCUGGGAAGUUGACGCUCAUGUUGUUGGAGGUUUGAACUCACACAACUCAUUAAACUACAAAGUGAUACAUGGUGUGGUUGUGUUAUCCCUCCAAUCAUUAGUCCCAGGCUCUCCCCUCUCUCCGUAUACAGUUUAACAUCUAACUGGUGGACUGUCAUAGGCUUAGGGUUUAAUUAACCCCUCUAAGACAUCAGAUGAACAAAGUGAAGAAGGCAGUGGAGGUCUCCUCAUCCCCCACCAGACCAUUGUCAGUGGGAAUGUCCUUCAAAGCCCUGCUGCAGCCUGGCCUGGCAUCACCUCACUGGCAUCAAUGUCAAUGCCAGGGUGUGCUGUGAUGCUAUGGGCCCUGAUGGUAGCAUAUUCCCUACCGAUAGUGUUGAUUGCCACGCUUAGGUAUAGCUCUGAGUAUGUGUGUGUGUGUGUGUGUGUGUAUGUGUGUGUGUGUGUGUGUGCCCUCUGAACUUGCCUUUCACGUUAUGGGUCUAUGCCCGAGGUGACUGGUUAGGCCCCUGCACCUACGAUAGUCCACAGUAAGGAUUUAACAUGGCAGCUGCAGGUUUAUUAGGCUGCUAAGCCUCCUCCCCUUUUCUCUAUGCUCUAUUUCACCUGGUUCUCUAUCCUCUUGCCCCUGUUUUUACCCCUACUUCCA
Xiphias gladius (swordfish) is the source of this 821-nucleotide long non-coding RNA. RefSeq lists it as uncharacterized. NCBI's taxonomy places the organism in Eukaryota, Metazoa, Chordata, Actinopteri, Istiophoriformes, Xiphiidae. The transcript has 5 exons. The record is from RefSeq and is a predicted model, not a curated record.